CCUACGGGUGGCAGCAGUGGGGAAUAUUGCACAAUGGGGGAAACCCUGAUGCAGCGACGCCGCGUGAGUGAAGAAGUAUCUCGGUACGUAAAGCUCUAUCAGCAGGGAAGAAAAUGACGGUACCUGACUAAGAAGCCCCGGCUAACUACGUGCCAGCAGCCGCGGUAAUACGUAGGGGGCAAGCGUUAUCCGGAUUUACUGGGUGUAAAGGGAGCGUAGGCGGCAGCACAAGUCUGGAGUUAAAGCCCGCGGCUUAACCCCGGAACUGCUUUGGAAACUGUGCGGCUAGAGUGCAGGAGGGGUAAGCGGAAUUCCUGGUGUAGCGGUGAAAUGCGUAGAUAUUAGGAGGAACACCGGUGGCGAAGGCGGCUUACUGGACUGUAACUGACGUUGAGGCUCGAAAGCGUGGGGAGCAAACAGGAUUAGAUACCCGGGUAGUC
This 440-nucleotide ribosomal RNA is filed under the name uncultured bacterium. RNAcentral's name for it is "partial 16S ribosomal RNA". It matches the Rfam family "Bacterial small subunit ribosomal RNA", at positions 338 to 795 of the family's 1533-position model. The record is from RNAcentral.